AGUGAACGCUGGCGGUAGGCCUAACACAUGCAAGUCGAACGGCAGCACAGUAAGAGCUUGCUCUUACGGGUGGCGAGUGGCGGACGGGUGAGGAAUACAUCGGAAUCUACUUUUUCGUGGGGGAUAACGUAGGGAAACUUACGCUAAUACCGCAUACGACCUACGGGUGAAAGCAGGGGAUCUUCGGACCUUGCGCGAUUGAAUGAGCCGAUGUCGGAUUAGCUAGUUGGCGGGGUAAAGGCCCACCAAGGCGACGAUCCGUAGCUGGUCUGAGAGGAUGAUCAGCCACACUGGAACUGAGACACGGGCCAAGCUCCUAAGGGAGGCAGAAGUGGGGAAUAUUGGACAAUGGGCGCAAGCCUGAUCCAGCCAUACCGCGUGGGUGAAGAAGGCCUUCGGGUUGUAAAGCCCUUUUGUUGGGAAAGAAAAGCAGCAGGUUAAGACCCCGCUGUUCUGACGGUACCCAAAGAAUAAGCACCGGCUAACUUCGUG
Molecule: ribosomal RNA, 492 nt
Filed under: uncultured bacterium
Lineage: Bacteria
Description: partial 16S ribosomal RNA
Rfam family: Bacterial small subunit ribosomal RNA
Source: RNAcentral